CCGAGUGCGAGGGCAUAUAGUCCUCGUUUUUCACCACCGUAAGGUGGUGGUGGAAUAAGUGCUGGGCAAGACCGGUGCCAGCCGCCGCGGUAAUACCGGCAGCACGAGUGAUGACCGCUAUUAUUGGGCCUAAAGCGUCCGUAGCUGGCCGCGCAAGUCUUUCGGGAAAUCUGCGGGCUUAACGGGAAGGCGUCCGGUGAAAACUGUGUGGCUUGGGACCGGAAGACCAAAGGGGUACGUCUGGGGUAGGAGUGAAAUCCCGUAAUCCUGGACGUACCACCGGUGGCGAAAGCGCCUCUGGAAGACGGAUCCAACGGUGAGGGACGAAAGCUCGGGUCACGAACCGGAUUAAAUACCCGGGUAGUCCGAGCUGUAAACGAUGCCUGCUAGGUUUGGCACAGGCUACGAGCCUGUACUGGGCGGUAGGAAACCCGAGAACCAGACCGCCUGGUAAGUACGUCCGCAAGGAUGAAACUUAAAGGAAUUGGGGGGGACCCAAA
Molecule: ribosomal RNA, 500 nt
Filed under: uncultured euryarchaeote
Lineage: Archaea; Methanobacteriati; Methanobacteriota
Description: bacterial SSU rRNA
Rfam family: Archaeal small subunit ribosomal RNA
Source: RNAcentral